UAGCGCCUCGUGAAUUCAUCUCCGGGGGUAGAGCACUGUUUCGGCUAGGGGGCCAUCCCGGCUUACCAACCCGAUGCAAACUGCGAAUACCGGAGAAUGUUAUCACGGGAGACACACGGCGGGUGCUAACGUCCGUCGUGAAGAGGGAAACAACCCAGACCGCCAGCUAAGGUCCCAAAGUCAUGGUUAAGUGGGAAACGAUGUGGGAAGGCCCAGACAGCCAGGAUGUUGGCUUAGAAGCAGCCAUCAUUUAAAGAAAGCGUAAUAGCUCACUGGUCGAGUCGGCCUGCGCGGAAGAUGUAACGGGGCUAAACCAUGCACCGAAGCUGCGGCAGCGACGCUGAUGCGUUGUUGGGUAGGGGAGCGUUCUGUAAGCCUGCGAAGGUGGCCUGUGAGGGUUGCUGGAGGUAUCAGAAGUGCGAAUGCUGACAUAAGUAACGAUAAAGCGGGUGAAAAGCCCGCUCGCCGGAAGACCAAGGGUUCCUGUCCAACGUUAAUCGGGGCAGGGUGAGUCGACCCCUAAGGCGAGGCCGAAAGGCGUAGUCGAUGGGAAACGGGUUAAUAUUCCCGUACUUGGUGUUACUGCGAAGGGGGGACGGAGAAGGCUAUGUUGGCCGGGCGACGGUU
Molecule: ribosomal RNA, 627 nt
Filed under: Salmonella enterica
Lineage: Bacteria; Pseudomonadati; Pseudomonadota; Gammaproteobacteria; Enterobacterales; Enterobacteriaceae
Also listed under: 1 other name
Description: partial 23S ribosomal RNA
Rfam family: Bacterial large subunit ribosomal RNA
Source: RNAcentral